RNAcentral lists this ribosomal RNA (462 nucleotides) under uncultured bacterium. Its description in RNAcentral is "partial 16S ribosomal RNA". It matches the Rfam family "Bacterial small subunit ribosomal RNA", at positions 28 to 507 of the family's 1533-position model. The record is from RNAcentral.
GAUAAACGCUGGCGGCGUGCUUAACACAUGCAAGUCGAACGAAGUUUUUCCUUCGGGAGAAACUUAGUGGCGGACGGGUGAGUAACGCGUGGGUAACCUGCCCUGUACAGGGGGACAACAGCUGUAAACGGCUGCUAAUACCGCAUAAGCCCUUAGCACUGCAUGGUGCAUAGGGAAAAGGAGCAAUCCGGUACAGGAUGGACCCGCGUCUGAUUAGCCAGUUGGCAGGGUAACGGCCUACCAAAGCGACGAUCAGUAGCCGAUCUGAGAGGAUGUACGGCCACAUUGGGACUGAGACACGGCCCAGACUCCUACGGGAGGCAGCAGUGGGGAAUAUUGCACAAUGGAGGAAACUCUGAUGCAGCGACGCCGCGUGAGUGAAGAAGUAUUUCGGUAUGUAAAGCUCUAUCAGCAGGGAAGAAAAUGACGGUACCUGACGAAGAAGCACCGGCUAAAUACGUG